AGGAGGGUUCCCUUUUCUCCACACCCUCUCCAGCAUUUAUCAUUUGUGGACUUUUUAAUGAUGGCCAUUCUGGAUGUCUCUCUAUUUUUAACCUCUCAGUUUUGCAAAAGUAAAAAGAUCGAUGAUAUUUAGGGUUGGUGAGAGUGUGAAGAAAUGAAAAUUUGUUGGUAAACUGAUGCAACUUUUUGAUCAGAAAAUAGGAUGUGUUUAUAAUUUUGUAAAUGUGUGUACUGUUUGCCUCAGCAAAUCCACCUUUUCCUACAAAAAUAGUUACAAAGCAUGGAGACUACAUACAUCACAUAUUUGAAGACUUUUAUCGUAGCAUGGUUUGUAAUACUAAAAGCUGAAAAUAACCUAAAUGUUUAUCAAUAGGUGAAUGUUCAAUUACUGUUACAUACCAUGGUUAAAAAGAAUGAAGUGUACCUGUGUGUAAUAGAAAGGUGUAAAGGAUGUAACUCUGCAAAAAGCACACUUCAGAACAAUGUCUAUAAUAUGAUCCCAUUGAAAAACAAAAGAAGAUAAUUAUACAUGUGUAUUUUAAUGGGCAGAUGUAAGUCUAUGUAUAGAGAAAGCCCAGAACAGUGAUACUCAGCUUGGGGAGAUUUUGCCCCUCCCGCCAAGAGGACAUUUGUCAAUGUCUACAGACAUCUUUGAAUUUCUUGACUAUGGGAGGGUGCUAUUGGCAUCUGGUAGGUAAGAGACCAGGGAUGCUGCUAAACACCCCUCUAUGCACAGGACACCCCCCCCUUCUCAACAAAGAAUGAAUUGACUCAAACAUCAGUAGCAUAGAGGUUGAGAAACUCUAGUCUAUAAGAAUAUGUAGCAGACUAUUAGCAAUUAUCUUUAGCAAUGUUGAAGAGAUUAAGAUAUUCUUUUUAUGUUAGUUAGUAUUUUGCUGUAUUUAAGUAAAUUUCUUUUUUUUAAAUCAAUGUAUUCCUUUGAAAUUAGCACAAAUGAGAAAUACUAGUCCUUGGCUGGGAGGAAGUGGGUUACUCAUUUUCAUUCAGAAGUGGUCAGUCCACUUGCAGCAGUUGGGAAGCUAAACGAUAAUUUUUAAAUUGAGACCAAAUAGCUCUUUCGGGCAAAGAAGUAUAUAUUAACAGAUAACAAACGUUCCCUGUCAAUCCUGAUUUUGCUCUGUUUAGAAAGAUGGUUCCACAUUUUAGACAAUCAGGGCUUCCUUACUCUGAAAUGCCUGUGUAAAGCACUCCAGUGCUCCUGCUGUAAGCAGUACCCAGGACUGACAGCCCACACGCCCACAUGGCAGGGAGCUGAAGGCAGCCUCGGGCUGACGGCCACUAGCAACUGAAGCCCUCAGUCCCUCAGCCUUUGUGGAACUGAAAUCCUGCCAACAUCACAUGAGCUUGACAGUGAAUUCUUCCCUAGUUGAUCCUUCGCUCUGACAGCCCGUCAGACACCUGGGUUACAGCCUCAAGGAGAUGCCCCAGAGCAGAUGACCUGUAUCUGGACUCCUGACCCACAAAAACUAUGAGAUAUGAAAUGGCACUGUAAUGUCAUCCCACGGGCCAAGAGAGCUUGGAACACAAUAUCUAGGAGAGCCCAGGGAUGGUGGUCCACCAGGCUCCCUUUGGCUCCUAACAGCUUCCAGAGGAGGAACGCCCGAUGGGGAGGGCACUUCUAUUGCCUUUGUGGAAAAUCAGUUUCCUAGAAACUGAACACACUGAAGUAUUUUCAGAGGAGAAAACUGGGCCUAUGAGGGAGAUGUGACUUGCCCAAGACCACACAAGGAUGGGGGCAGGGAAUAAACACCCAAGUGAGGUCAGCAAGCAGUUUGGUCUGAGAAUCAGAGGAAUCCUGCCAGUUGCUGUUCCCAAUGAUUCAUUCCAGAACUGGGGAAAGAGCCACAGGAUGGGUCUGGGGACCCAGAUGACCCAGUGUGAGAUGAAGAUGAGCUAAAAUCUUAUUGAUCAUCUGAACCCCACAGAAAUCAUGGAGCAGCUGUAUGGGAACUAUGCAAACUGAAUGAUAGCAGACAGCCUGGGAAAGAAGAGCAGAAUUUGAAGCUUCAUCAAACAGGUGAUGAAUUCAUUUUCUCCUUCUGGCAUCACUUGCUCUGUGACUAAUACUGGCAAGAGGUGACGUGGCUUGAUCAAGGGUGGUAGUGAUGAAGAUGGAGAGAAAUGGCAGGUCGGGGUGCAUUUCAUAAGUUGAUUCAGACCUUGAUGGGAGAUGAGCUAAAUGUGGGAGAAUUAGGAAUCUAGGGUGACUCCUGAUUCUGGCUGGAGUGACUAGAUCAAUGAGGGUAACAUUUGCUGAUAGCGAAGAUCCAGGGAAGGAGAAGAUUUGAUGUUUGUUGUAAAUAUAAUAAAUUUGAGCUGCCUACUGUAUAGCUAAUGGGAGAUGACAAGUAGGUUGUUUAUGUAUGGCUUUGUGGUUCAAGAAAGACAUCACAACUGAACGUUAACAUUUGGGACUAUUGGACAUAUAUCCAAAGUAAUGGUCACCAUGACUUUGAAUGAGAGGGAACCCAGGGAGAAAAGAAGGGGCUGAGGGCAUGGUCAUGUGGCUGCAUCACUCUCGGACACGUGGAUAAGGGGGGCUACAGAGAAGACUGAGAAGCAAUAUCUCAUCAUAUAGUGCAUGUAUUUCAACUUAGAGAUGUAGAGAUAUUUAGAUUUAUUCUUUACCAAUCCCAAGGAUCUUCUUUAGAAAAGCUGCCUUUUAUGAGAGUGAAAGAUCAUCUUUCUAAAUGGGAAAGUCAACAAUUGCAAUUUAAAAAGUAUUAUGUGUAAAAUUCUUCCUAAAAUUCAUAUGCGAUCUCAAGGUACUCCAAAUAGCUAAAACAGUUCUGAAAAAAAAAAAAAAGAAAAAAGAACAAACUUAGAAAUCUCAUACUUUCUGAUUUCAAACUUGCUACAAAUCUACAAUAAUCUAACAGUAUAGUACUGGCAUAGAGACAGAUACGGAUCGGUGGAGUAGAAUGGAGAGCCCAGAAACAGAUCCUUGCACAGAUGCUAAAACCCACCACCAAAGAGAAGAAAUUAACUACUUGAUGACUGAGAGCACAUGGCCCCCAGACCUUCUGGUGCCUGAGGGUUGGUAGUGUUGCCCUCCCCGUUCCCUCAGCAUCACCCAAUCAGCGAGUUGUGCACGAGCUGAUCACAUACACUGCGACCCCUCCCCGACUUACCUGGCCUUUAAAUAUGCUUUGCUGAAACCCUUCAGGGAAUUCGGGGUUUUCUUGGGCAUGAGCCACCCCAUCCUCCUUGCUCAGCCCUGCAAUAAACCUUUCUCUGCUUCAAACUCCAGUGUUUCAGUUUGGCCUAAUGGUGCGUCAGGCACGUGAACCUGCCUUCAGUAACAGAAAGAGUGCCUGUUUUUACACACAGUCUCCUGUGCCAGGCAAAGCCUGUUUCUUAGUCUGUCUCUACUGGUAAUGCUAGGGCUUUGUGUAAGAUUCUGAAGUGACCUGUGCAUCCCCAUCCUGUCCUGGCAACGACAUUCCCUUCCAGUUGGGAGCAGUUCCUUCAUUCCUGAGGCCCUGGAUUGUCGCUUCUGGUCCCCCGCCUCAACCCCGCCUUGACCCAGUCCGGGGCCUCCAUGAGAGGAUCCCAGUCCCUGAGCAGCAGCGGUUAGUCAGGGCACUUGCCUGGGGCAGCGUCUUUCUCUGAAUUGACACCCAGACUUUGAGAGCCAGAACAUCUCUUUUCUGAUGGGAGUAAAGGGAUUGGAAGAAUUGGAUCUGGGAUUGGAAUAACCAUUUCCCCCUGUAACAGGCAGGAAGCCCAACUGCUUUAGGAAGAAAUGAAGCCAAGAAAGAGGAAAAUAAAACCAAGAAGGGAGAAAAAGCACUGAUGUCAUCACAUGCAUAUGGACCGUAAGAAUCUUUUACAACAGGAGUUGUAAAACAAACUGUUAGGUAAUUAGAUAAGUGGGGGCACCGGGCAGAUAGGUAGGAGAGAGAGAGGAUGGUCCAAAAGAUGACAUUAUGCCCGCCUCCAGCAUAAAGAGAUUUACUUCUUCUAAAUGAGUGCCCGCAAGAAACCCAUUAGAACCCGACAGCCAUGACUGCCCGGAGGCAGAAAGGCCUGAACUGGACGAGACCCAAUGUUCAUUGCGUUACAGUUAAUAUUGUGGUUUAGUUCCCCACCCUGGGUUUUUCUGUGUACACCAUGUGUAAGGACGUGUGCGAAAGGGCCAAACAUGACUAAACGUUCCAGGGAUAAGAGCCAUCAGUCAAUCAGAGGCCACCUCUAAGUGAGGGUAUAAGAGAAAGGAGAGACAAAAACUGCCACUUUUUCUCCACUGGGUCAGCCCACCCCCCCAUUCUUGGAGGUGUAAUUUUCCUUUUCUAAGUGAAUGUUUAAAAAUUUUUUGGUCUCCAAAGCACCAUCUCCUGACUG
Molecule: non-coding RNA, 4364 nt
Organism: Vicugna pacos (alpaca)
Lineage: Eukaryota; Metazoa; Chordata; Mammalia; Artiodactyla; Camelidae
Source: RefSeq, a predicted model, not a curated record